RNA transcript from Xiphophorus maculatus (southern platyfish), 5781 nucleotides. It is a transcript of the gene named clavesin 2, with no coding region annotated. The transcript is spliced from 6 exons. NCBI's taxonomy places the organism in Eukaryota, Metazoa, Chordata, Actinopteri, Cyprinodontiformes, Poeciliidae. The record is from RefSeq and is a predicted model, not a curated record.
GGUAUCCACACACCGAGCAGAGACUCUCUGGAUGUCAGUCACUUUCAGCGAACAGACGGUAAUCCCCCACCUCAUCCACCCCACCCCUCUCCAAACAGCAGCAACCGGAGGCAGGAGGGGGGCAAAACCACACGGGACACCUGUACACUGCCGGACGCCUCCCCUUCUGAUUUCUUUCACUUUCACUCCCAGAAUAAGCGGCGGAUUUGCGCUUUAAACCGCGGAUUCAUCCCGCAGCAGCUCGCAGGAGGUCCGCGGAUGGAGACGCGCUUUGAAGGCGGAGGUCUGCUGGUGUUCACGUAGCAGCGGCUGCAGGGUCGUGCCGCAUUGUCCGGCCGCUUCGAGCGACGCUCGGGGAGACGGGGAUGCUGCCGUCGUCAGUGAGUCACAGAUCGGGAGAGAAAGCGCGGAGCGGCUUUGACAUGGAGGCGAGCGGCUGUCGCUCAGGCCACCCGGAUCAGCAGCAGGUUGGUGCAGCCUGAAGCUCCCGGCGGACGUCGCUUCAUCAUCUGCAUGCUGGGAAAUUAUAAUAAAGUUCAAAUCUUGUUUUUUUUAAAAAAAAUGAUUGUGUGCGUAAAGUGAGUGGCCCAUAUGCAGAAAAUGCAUCACAGAAUGAGAGCAGCGGCGGCGUCUGUGCCAGUUCAGGGUGGAUUACGUGUUCAGAGCAGCAGGCCUCCAUCUGAAGUCAGCCACUGAUCACUAAACGCUCUCCGUCCACUUCCCUGCCCUGUUGCUAACCGAUUCCUCAGCUGGUUCACCAGAACCCCCCACGGAGGGACAGCUGUUGCAAACAAUGACUCACCUGCAGGCUGGCCUCUCUCCGGAGACCCUGGAGAAGGCCAAGGUGGAGCUGAAGGAAAACCCGGAGACUCUCCACCAGGACAUCCAGGAGGUCCGGGACAUGAUCAUCACCCGGCCGGACAUCGGCUUCCUCAGGACAGACGACGCCUUCAUCCUCAGAUUCCUCAGAGCGAGGAAAUUCAACCACUUUGAGGCGUUCCGGCUGCUGGCACAGUACUUCGAGUACAGGCAGCAGAACCUGGACAUGUUCAAGAACCUGAAGGCCACCGACCCGGGCAUCAAGCAGGCUCUGAAGGACGGCUUCCCGGGAGUCCUCUCCAAUCUGGACAAAUACGGCAGGAAGAUCCUGGUCCUGUUUGCAGCCAACUGGGACCAGAGCAGAUACACGUUUGUGGACAUCCUGCGAGCCAUCCUGCUGUCUCUGGAGUCCAUGAUCGAAGACCCGGAGCUGCAGGUGAACGGCUUCAUCCUCAUCAUCGACUGGAGCAACUUCACCUUCAAGCAGGCCUCCAAGCUGACCCCCAGCAUGCUGCGGCUGGCCAUCGAGGGGCUGCAGGACAGUUUUCCUGCGAGGUUCGGAGGAAUCCACUUUGUGAACCAGCCCUGGUACAUCCACGCCCUCUACACGGUCAUCCGACCCUUUCUCAAAGACAAGACCAGGAAAAGGAUUUUCAUGCACGGUAACAACCUGAACAGCCUCCACCAGCUGAUCCACCCGGAGAUCCUGCCGUCAGAGCUGGGUGGGAUGAUGCCGCCGUACGAUAUGGGGACGUGGGCGCGCACGCUGCUGGACCACGCCUACGACGAGGAGACGGACUACUGCCCAGAGUCCUACACUCUGUCGGUGCAGGACCUGGAGAGAGACCUGGAGAAAAACAUGUCCCCAAAGACCAUGAAGAGGUCUCAGUCGGUGGUGGAGCCAGGAGUCCUGAAGAGACCCGACAAGGUGAAGAGUGAAGAAGACAACCUGCAGCCGCUGCUGUCGUUGGACUAAACGCCCAAAGUUACAGCAGAGAAGCAGAAAUAGAUCAAUAUUUCAGUUCCUAAGAACGUACCUGUGCACAUACCGGAAGCAACUCAUCCUGCAGAAAGACGUUCCUUCAAACUUUACGGAAAGCAGCAGGAACACGUCCAGAAACCGACGAGCUUCUGAUGGUCCUCUAUACAGUAUAUUUAUUUAUGUAGUUUCAUGUCAAGUGCCAAUUCCAGAAACUGUAAAUAUGAAGUCUUUAAACAAUCCAGAGCGGAGCAGGGAAGGCUGGUCUAAAACCGACGUGUGGAGGUAACGGUUCCCACGGUUACUACAGGAGGACGGAUGUGUGAAAACUGCAAAGCAUAUUUCAAAGAGGGCUUCAGGCUUUUUGAUAUCUUUCUGAAGAAAAACUCUGCACACGGACAAGAAGGGGGCCGCAGAAAAACAGACACUGCUUGUUUUCUUGUAAGAUUUUUCCAAUGACAAUACUGUCUAAAAUUUCCGUCUCUCUCCAGUUAUCUUUUGGAAAAGCAAACCUCCCUUUACGAGUUUAUUGAAAUGCAUCCGGCUCUGAUGGAGUUUGAUAAACGGCUGUUACAGUUUCUCCACAUCAGGCGAAUGAAGUGCAAAGCUUCAACCAGUGAAUGUCAGCAGCGUCUCUCCGGCUGGGAAACGGGCAGCCGGGCGGGUCCAGUGCGGUCCGCUCCGAGGCAGAGAGCGUCAGGCGUCCGGCUGAACGCGGAGCGACAGCUGGGAUGUUCAACCAGCAGACGCUGCUCAGCAUCAGCCGCGCUGAGAGCAGCCAGGCCUCCUGAUCCGCUGCUAAAUCACAGACAAUAACCAGCCGCUCUGAGGUUCACACUUUCAUUCACUGAAUUUAUAAUCAGUUUGUCCCUCUGAGCAAAAAGCUGCUCAAAAUUUGCAAUAAUUUGACUCUGACGGUUCCAGCAUGAAAAGAAUUUGACGGUGUAUUUUUCACAAUGAAACAUUUCACACUUAUUUACAUUUUUUUACAUAAAAUUAUACAAAUUUGAGAUUAUAAUUUUCUUUCAGGUCCACCUCAAGUGUGAGGGUAAUAUGCAGCAUAUCUUGAUGCGAAGAUUUACAGUAGGUCUAAAAGUUUCAAAUCUUUUUAAUGCUAAAUUUACUUCAAAUUCCUGUAAAAAAAAUUAUUUGUCAUUUCUUCCCCUAAAUUUGAAGUCCUUAAUUACAUGUUGGAUUAUCAAUUUGCCUCUACAGAAUCCCCAUCACUGCCACGUAGAGGUAUUAAAACUUUGGAGCUUCAGCAGCCAAUACAGUCCUGCUUUCACCAGAGAUUUACAGAAAAUAAAUACAUUUUGGAAAACAUUUCAUGACGUUAAGCAGCCAUUUUUAAAAAUGAGUCAUGCUAAACCUGCAUCACUGAGGAUGUGGCUGAAAUAUAAUAGAAACUACACUAACAACAAGAAUUAGUCUAAGUUUAGACAUGAAUAUUGAUCAUUUAAUAGUUUUUGAUCUGGACCUCAGUCUUCAUGCUAUUAAACUAAUUGGUAAAUCCACUUUUUAAGAGAUGUAGCUAAUACUUUGAAAUUGACAUAUUUGGGCCAUAAGGAGUUUAAUCUGAUUUAAUCAAAGUUUAUGUUUGGGGUAUAAAGUUUCUAUAAAGAACAUAAAUCUUCUCUAUAAAUUGGGUAAAAUUGUUAACAGUUUUGAAUGAAUUUAAGGAAGAAACACUUUAAGCUAUAAACUUAAACAGUUAACAUUUAUUUCACCAGUUGUUCUAGUCAAAUGUUGUUUAAUGAUCCAGCCAAAUAUAUUCUGGUUUAAAAAGAGGAACACUUCCUGUUUUGUUAAUAUUAAUCUAGUUUACGUUUUAGAGUUUUUUGCAAAAAAAAAAAGCAAAAUAAUCUCAAAAGGAAGCAGGUCCACUAACGGGCAAAAUCUGAAUCUGAGAAAAUGUAACAAUCCUUCACAGAAGCUACCAGGUGCUUAGACUUUAUUUUCUGCACAUAAACAAACACCUUGGAUGUAUUUUUUCAAACAGCAUGGUGGGGGUCAGAGGUCAGGAGGUGUAAAGACAAACAGGGACACACACUCUCACACACUCUCACACACACACUGUAGAUGCUUCCAGUUGUUGGGAUUAAAUGUUUACAUGAACUAAACAUGUACACUGCUUGAAUAUCGCUCCACUCCGAGAACUCAGAGCCUCCUGCUGCUCCACCGAAGGUUUCUAAGGUUACAGUGACAGAAGUGAAUUUCACUGGUUGACAGUAUUUAACAGAUGGUUAUACAGAAGAUCUUUAAUUUUACAGAAAGAAAUGUCUUUUCCGGUAAUUCCUCACUGAACAUUUAAUAUUAUUUGAUGUUUAUUUUGUCAGUAUUUUUAUGGAAAUUGCUAAUGUUUAUUAUAAAAACGUCAGAUGUGUGCUUUUUAAACUGUAAGCAGUCUGAAAUAAGUUUCAUAUGUAAGAAAUUCAGCAUUUUGAAUGUUUUUCUACAUGAUGUUUUGUCUUUCUUCCCAAAGUUUUCAUCAGAAUUUUAAACCUUAAAAAAAAUCUAAAAACCACCUAAGAUGCCACCCUGGAGGUUCACAGAUCUUCAUACACAUUUACCAAAACAUUUUAGAUCUUUACAAUGCACUAUAUCAUAAAAAGUAACAGCAGUCUUUAAAAAGUCACGUUUUGUAAUUUAUUUUAUUAAAAAAUGUGCAGCUCAGCUUAUUUUCUCCUGAAAAUAUACAGCGUCGUCACAUUUAGUCACACCUGAAAAAGAUUUGUGUAAAUGACUAAAAUUAACUUUAGAUUGCAGAAGCUAAAUCUGACAUUUUUCUGUCUGAUUUCAGAAUCUGAAUGAUCUGGUCAAAUUGUGCCCACAGAAUAAGAAAGAAGACAAUCCAUCCCAGUGCAGCAGAUGUGUGUUUGUCUCCAUAAGCCAGAAAAUGCUACAAAAAAACUAAAGUUAGCAUACAGUUACAAUUUGAGAAAAAAAAUCUAAAGUUUUUGUGCAAGGAUGAGGUGGUUUUCACAUCGUAUCGAAAUUAGUGUAUUUCAUAAAACUCUAAUGGAAACUUUUUUUUUUCAACCAGAUGUUACUAAUGGUGGAAAAGACAAAAGAAGAAGGCAGGAAGUAGUUGGAGGAUGAUGGAGUGGUGUAAUCUUUACUGACUUACUGCAUAAACAAACAUAUUCACACAAUUGCAAAAUUAUUGAUAUUCCACAAGAACACAAAGUUUUGCGUACAUUUGUAAUGAAAAUGCAGCUGCUGUUUCUAAAACACAGGAACCUCCAGGAUGGUAACUGAUGUGGUUUGCAUCUUUUGUUUCACUCAUGCUAAUCAGUAAACCAGACACAGCGCUGAAGCUUCACUUGUUUGAAGUAUUUCUUAACUCGCCUUCUAUCAGUAGGUUUGUUUUCAGUGACAUCCAGUAAAGAAAAUCCUCCUGGCUUUUAUGAACUUGAGUUGAAUAACUUUCCACUGAUUUAAUCAUCUUUUUUCCCGAUUUAAAGCUUCCAGCAGUGACAACUCUCUGCAUAGAGCCUGCUUAAUGAAGAUUUGGGAUUCAUUCAUUCUUUCUUCUGCUCUCCAUCACGCUCUUGUUACUCAGUAUUUUGUAAUAAUCGAUAGUCUGUAAGCGGUUUAAUUCUCACUGACUUUGAAUUGUGUUAUGUCUCUGCCAAAGCCACUUGUUCCACUGAGAAUCUAAUGUAUUGUUUCUGAUCAUUAAGUAUUUGUGCACUGAUGACAUUGAAUGAUCUUUUCUUACUGAUUGGUAAUUUCUUGAGGAGAAAAGAAACGAAUGCAUAAUUUUGAGUUUACUCACUUCUUCUUUUCUCACAGUUUUUUGAUUGUAUAGUUGCAGUAGGAAAACCACACUGAAGCAGAAAUGUGAAGUUAUUAUGGAAAGCCAGUAUAUUAUAGGAGCAAAAACUGUCCAGUUAGCAGGUGUUCUGUGUGUAAAUGUCCUCAAAGACAAUUUGCUGAAAUGUAAAAUGAUCAAAAUAAAUAUGGACAUGCAGAUUUUCUCA